This 504-nucleotide ribosomal RNA is filed under the name uncultured incertae sedis 5 bacterium. RNAcentral describes it as "bacterial SSU rRNA". It matches the Rfam family "Bacterial small subunit ribosomal RNA", at positions 56 to 557 of the family's 1533-position model. The record is from RNAcentral.
UGCAGUCGACGGCAGCACGGGAGCAAUCCUGGUGGCGAGUGGCGAACGGGUGAGUAAUACAUCGGAACGUGCCCAGUAGUGGGGGAUAGCCCGGCGAAAGCCGGAUUAAUACCGCAUACGACCUACGGGUGAAAGCGGGGGAUCGCAAGACCUCGCGCUAUCGGAGCGGCCGAUGUCAGAUUAUCUAGUUGGUGGGGUAAAGGCCUACCAAGGCGACGAUCUGUAGCUGGUCUGAGAGGACGACCAGCCACACUGGGACUGAGACACGGCCCAGACUCCUACGGGAGGCAGCAGUGGGGAAUUUUGGACAAUGGGCGCAAGCCUGAUCCAGCCAUGCCGCGUGCGGGAAGAAGGCCUUCGGGUUGUAAACCGCUUUUGUCAGGGAAGAAAACCUCUGGGCUAAUACCUCGGAGUAAUGACGGUACCUGAAGAAUAACCACCGGCUAACUACGUGCCACCAGCCGCGGUAAUACAUAUGGUGCAAGCGUUAAUCAGAAUUACUGG